This 169-nucleotide small nuclear RNA is filed under the name Myotis davidii. Its description in RNAcentral is "U2 spliceosomal RNA". It matches the Rfam family "U2 spliceosomal RNA". From Rfam's summary of the family: U2 is a small nuclear RNA (snRNA) component of the spliceosome (involved in pre-mRNA splicing). Complementary binding between U2 snRNA (in an area lying towards the 5' end but 3' to hairpin I) and the branchpoint sequence (BPS) of the intron results the bulging out of an unpaired adenosine, on the BPS, which initiates a nucleophilic attack at the intronic 5' splice site, thus starting the first of two transesterification reactions that mediate splicing. Lineage: Eukaryota; Metazoa; Chordata; Mammalia; Chiroptera; Vespertilionidae. The record is from Rfam by way of RNAcentral.
AUCGCGUCUCGGCCUUUUGGCUAAGAUCAAGUGUAGUAUCUGUUCUUAUCAGUUUAAUGCCUGAUACGUCCUCUUUCCGAGGACAAUAUAUUAGUGGAAUAGGAGCUUGCUCCGUCCACUCUGCGCAUCGACACGGUAUUGCAGUACCUCCGGGAAUGGUACACACACA